This 17-nucleotide ribosomal RNA is filed under the name Phoma sp. CBS 118750. RNAcentral's name for it is "partial 28S ribosomal RNA". Lineage: Eukaryota; Fungi; Ascomycota; Dothideomycetes; Pleosporales; Didymellaceae. The record is from RNAcentral.
CUGAACUUAAGCAACAA